Molecule: ribosomal RNA, 467 nt
Filed under: uncultured cyanobacterium
Lineage: Bacteria; Bacillati; Cyanobacteriota
Description: bacterial SSU rRNA
Rfam family: Bacterial small subunit ribosomal RNA
Source: RNAcentral
UUAGUGGCGGACGGGUGAGUAACGCGUGAGGAUCUGCCCUCAGGAGGGGGCCAACGACUGGAAACGGUCGCUAAUACCCCAUAUGCCGAGAGGUGAAAUGUUUGUCGCCUGAGGAUGAGCUCGCGUCAGAUUAGCUAGUUGGUGGGGUAACGGCCUACCAAGGCGACGAUCUGUAGCUGGUCUGAGAGGAUGAUCAGCCACACUGGGACUGAGACACGGCCCAGACUCCUACGGGAGGCAAGCAGUGGGGAAUCUUCCGCAAUGGGCGAAAGCCUGACGGAGCAAGACCGCGUGAGGGAUGACGGNCUAAUGGUUGUAAACCUCUUUUCUCUGGGAAGAUCAUGACGGUACCAGAGGAAUAAGCCUCGGCUAACUCCGUGCCAGCAGCCGCGGUAAUACGGAGGAGGCAAGCGUUAUCCGGACUCAUUGGGCGUAAAGCGUCCGUAGGUGGUUAAUCAAGUCAGCUG